CAGCUAAUGAGGAGAGAACAGUCAACCCAGCUACUGUUAAUUUUAACGUAGCAGUGUCGAGCAUCAGUGACCGCCUGGAUCCAUACCGCUGAACUGCCUUCCACAUCUCAGAGGUUUCAGCUAUUGAAUUAUUAUGGAUGAAAAUUAAUAUUGAAGUCAAAUAAAAUGGUAUGAAGCCCAAACCCUUUCGUGGCAGAACAAGAACUUGAGUUGGCUCACUAUAGCAGCUGGAGAUGAAUAUAAAGAGAAGCACCCUGCUCAUGGAUGGAUGUCUUUUUAAUGGUGGGGAUGGGAAAAGCAAAGCAGAGCAGAGCUGGAGAACGGGAGCUGAUGUUGGAAGGAGAACAGACCCAUUACCCCUAUGAAUUCCUGAUAGCAGCUAACUCGCCAGGAAGUUUCUCUGUCUGCCUCAUGUGAUGGCCUUUAGCUUGCUAGGUUAUUAGCUGAUGAUUUAUAUUAUGGCAUUACACCAGGUUUUCCUCCAUUUCUCUUCUCUGUAAUCCCAUCUAUCUUUUUGUCUCGUGACCGUCAUCUCACACUACUCAGUGUCACUAGCUGAGCAUUAUUCUAGCAAGGUCACAAGUCAGAGUUUCUUGGUGUUUCAUUAAAGUCCUCUGUCACCUGGGAAGCGAAGGCAUGUCAAAAGGGGAGAAGAGUUUUGUAGCUAGACAGAAAUAGAUGAAAAAGCGUUGUUCGUGUGGAGAGCAGGUGUUGUUUGGAAGAAGGAACCUGGUGCGUGUUGUGUAUGUGCAUAUGUGUUUAGGUGUGUGUGAUCAACGGAGACCCUUGGGAGACAACAUGCAUGCAAAAGGCCAGGACACAGGCGAGAGGAAAUAACUUUUGUGAGCAGUUAUGUCCUGAACUGGCCUGGUUUUUAUAACCAAAGGCUUGCUGCCGUUGUCCUUUGGAACAAAACAAACUACUAAACCUACAAGGGCGGAAUAUGUUUAUGUUUACUUGUGACAUCUGUUUUAGGGAAUUAUUAAUAAAAAGCACUUGAAACAUUUACUUACCUGCCAUUCUGCUUAGUAACAAAG
Molecule: long non-coding RNA, 1037 nt
Organism: Xiphias gladius (swordfish)
Lineage: Eukaryota; Metazoa; Chordata; Actinopteri; Istiophoriformes; Xiphiidae
Exons: 4
Source: RefSeq, a predicted model, not a curated record